Xenopus tropicalis (tropical clawed frog) is the source of this 4227-nucleotide RNA transcript. It is a transcript of the gene named splicing factor proline and glutamine rich, with no coding region annotated. The transcript is spliced from 13 exons. The record is from RefSeq and is marked provisional. Lineage: Eukaryota; Metazoa; Chordata; Amphibia; Anura; Pipidae.
CGACUUUUAAUCCCUUGUUGUAACAGCAAAAUGAUGCCCCGCGAUCGAUUUAGGAACCGCGGUGGUGGAGGAGGUGGAAUGAGUAUCUAUCGUCGCGGAAACGGUGGCCGCGGAGGAGGGAUGCCAAAUUACCGGGGAUCGGGAUACAUGGAUUCUAACCGGGGCCCCCAUCAAAAUCAGCAGCAGGGUCCUCCGCAGCAAAAACAGCAACAAGACAAGCAGCCCGCCCAACAGCAGCAAAAACAGACUCCUGCUCAAGAGCAGAAACCCGCACAACAGCCACAGGCUGCAACCAAGCCCCAGGAUUCCCAGGCUCCUCAGCCCCCGGCCCAGUCCCCACAGUCCAAGCCCGCUCCGUCCCCACAGCAGAAACCGGGCACCACUCCCCAGCAGCAACAAAGCCAACCUCAGUCCAGCCCUGCUAAACCAGUGCCCCAGACACCGCCCCAGCAACUACAGAAGCCGCCCCAGCAGCCACAGCAGCAGAAACCCGCGCCUCCUAAUAAUGCUUCUUCACAGGCCAAACCUGGGCAACCCCCUGUCCACCAUCACCAACAGCAGCAGCAGAGGUCUAGGCCUGGAAUGAACCAAGUCGGACAAAAGAGGCCGCAUCAGUCCCGCUUCCAGUCUCAGCCCCCGCCCCAUGCCAUGGAGUCGGAUGCCGCUGAGGAGAAAUCAAGCGCAGACGAUGUCUCCGGAUGGAGCGAUGGUGUAAGGGCUACACUUUCACUUCUGAAAAGGCCAGGAGAGAAGACCUACACUCAGCGCUGCAGGCUGUUUGUUGGCAAUCUCCCAACUGAUAUAAACGACGAUGAAUUUAAGAAACUGUUUGAAAAAUAUGGGGAGCCAGGGGAGGUGUUCAUUAACAAAAGUAAAGGCUUCGGCUUUAUUAAACUGGAAACUAGAGCAUUAGCAGAAAUAGCUAAAGCAGAGCUUGAUGACUUACCAAUGCGAGGAAGGCAACUACGUGUGCGGUUUGCAACACAUUCAGCUGCACUCUCUGUUCGCAAUCUAUCUCCAUUUGUUUCUAAUGAGCUACUGGAAGAAGCCUUUAGUCAGUUUGGACCAGUGGAGCGAGCUGUAGUUAUCGUGGAUGAUCGAGGGAGGUCAACGGGAAAAGGAAUAGUUGAGUUUGCAGCAAAACCAGCAGCCAGAAAGGCACUUGAAAGAUGCACUGAUGGAGUUUUUCUUCUGACCACUACCCCAAUGCCAGUUAUUGUUGAGCCCCUUGAACAAUUUGAUGAUGAAGAUGGGCUGCCUGAGAAACUUGCACAGAAGAAUCACCUUUACCAAAAGGAGAGAGAGGUUCCACCAAGAUUUGCCCAACAUGGAACUUUUGAGUUUGAGUAUUCUCAGAGGUGGAAAUCUUUGGAUGAGAUGGAGAAACAGCAAAGGGCACAGGUAGAGAAAAACAUGAAAGAGGCAAAAGAAAAGCUUGAAAGUGAGAUGGAAGAUGCAUAUCAUGAGCAUCAAGCUAAUCUCUUGCGUCAAGAUUUAAUGAGGCGUCAAGAAGAACUCAGGCGCAUGGAAGAGCUUCACAAUCAAGAAAUGCAGAAGCGCAAAGAAAUGCAACUUAGGCAAGAGGAGGAACGGCGCAGGAGAGAGGAAGAAAUGUUGCUCCGCCAGAGAGAAAUGGAAGAACAGAUGAGGCGCCAGAGAGAAGAGGGUUAUCGUAUGAGUUACAUGGACCCACGGGAACGAGAUAUGCGCAUGGGAGCAAGUCAGAUGUCCAUGGCAGAUCCCUAUGGUGCUGCAAGCCAAAAGUAUCCACCGCUUGGAGGAGCUGGUAUGGGCUAUGAAAACAGCCCUGGGGUAGCACAAGCUACCAUCAGCUCAUCAAUUAUGGGAGGAGACAUGCGCAAUGAGCGCUUUGUCCAGGGGAAUGCAGGGACUCCUAAUGCCCAAGCUUCCAGAGGGAUUGGAACUGUGCCACCUACUGCAGCUGCAGGGGCUGGAGGCUAUGGGAGGGGGAGGGAAGAAUAUGAAGGGCCAAACAAAAAGCCCAGGUUCUAGGUUUCCUUCACUUUAAAUCUAAUUCCACUGUUUAUUUUGUUAAAUUUUUAACUCUUGCAUUUUAGUAAGAAGCAUUUUUUUAUGGAUGCUCAGAUGCUUGACCCAGUAUUUGUGAAGCACGUUAAUAGUCUAAUACUGUUCUGGUAAAUGUUUCACAAAGCUUUCCCCUUCCCUUAUUUUAUGGCAGUGUUUUGAUUUUUUUUUUUUUUUUUUUUUUCUCCCUUGUACCCUUUUUUUAUUUAACUGUGCCUGUAAAGAACAGCAGCUGUAGUAUACUCCAGAGACUUUUUAAAAUCAUUGAGCUGAACAUAAAAUGUAAUUUUCAAGACAACCAGCAAGGCUUGCUUCAGUGGGUUAAUUCUGUGAAAGGCUUCAAAAUGAUAUAUGUGAAGCCAACCCAAGUCUGCUAUAUUUGUUCUCUAUAAAGACUGGAGUCUUGCAAAGCUGUGUUUUUCUGUAUAAAAGAACUUAUCUGCAAAUGCCAGUAGGUUUGAAGGGCAGGGCUUGAAAUAUCCUUUAUUCUCCCUGUGAUCUGAGCAUUUUGUGGCCUGGAAGAAGCUUCAAAAAACUGUCUUUGUAACAGGCUGUAUUAACUUCUAAAUAAAAUGUCAAUAUGGAAAACUUUGUUUUUGGGAUGGGUAACUUUUUUGUGGGGCUGCAAUUUUGUGAGCAAUUGGAUUGAGAGGCUUAGUCUGGGUGGUGUUGCAUUUACAAAAUGCAAUGAUUCUUUAUUCAAAGGGUUGCCAGCACUCUGAUUAAAAACCAUUAAACACUUAAUAGUAGUAAUGUGCUUUGGUACUCUUUAUCUGCACAAUCCUUUAUUCUGAUCUGAUGGAUCAUUGUGUGCUUAUGUUGCACACUUGUAAUUUCAAUAGAUAUAGGAUUAGCCUUAUCAGGUGGGCCAAAAGCACUCAACAUAUGAUCACAAAGGACGUUUUUUGGUGUGCAGAGACUUUAAAUUUUAAGAAGGGUUAGUAUGUUUAGUAUACAAGAAUUGGUUUGGGUCUCCAUUCUUUUGAAAUAUGAGCAAGACCUGGGCUGAAAUAAAGAUUCAUGAACAGUGUGGUAAUGGUGUUAUGGCUAAGUAGAUGCUUGGUAUAUGAAGUAUCUUUAUCAUAGCAUAGUUUUUUUUUUUAUUGCCUAGUACAUCAUGGUGUAAGUAAUGUUAACCUAAUUGAUUUUUGCAUUAGAACAAGAAAGCAUCUAUUGAGAAGUGAUCAAUAAUAAAAUUGGACAAAAUCCGGCUUGGGUUUGUCUAUUCCCAUGCAACUCAUUCAUUUAGUUUCAUAACUAAACAUAACUUAAAUGCUAUAUUGGCAGCUAACUAUCAUGCUAGGUUCAAUAUCCCAUGCAAAUACAAAAUAUGAACCUAAUAUUUUGAAAUAAAUGGCCAGUGUUAAGUUACUACAUAUAGUUUGUAUAUCUAUAAAAUGAAUAUACAAAUAUAUCAAAUUCAAAGCACCAUAAAGGGUGCUAUAUAAGUAAGAUCUCUCCCAUACUGCUGAGUUGGAAAUAACUCAAUGUCACCUUGGUGGAAAGAACCCCAUUUUUAUUGCAGAUUAAUAUUUGGUUUUAAGAUUGGUUGGUGUUGGCUGAAAGUAAUACAAAAAUGGAAAUAAGGUUUACCAGGUUUCUAGAUAACCUUAAAAUAAACUUUUGUAUUGGUUAAAAAAAUCCCUUAUCAGUUGAAUCCUGUAGGGAUGUUUUAAUUUGUCACCUGCACUAAAUAAAUGUGCAGAAUGGUGCUGUGACAUUCAAACAUUAACCUAAACUAGUGGUCCUUGUUUCAGUCCUUCAUCUGUACAGUUUUUUGUUGGCAGCCAGAGACUUGGGAAAUCUUCAUGGUAUAUGAUAUUAAUGAAGUUUUAGCCACUUCAAUUGCCCUUUACAAUCUUAGUGACCGUCUGUAGCAAGCAUUUCUGCAGUGCAUAACUUUGAGGAACAUAGUGCUACCAUUGGACUGUAGGAUCCCGGAUGUAGUAAACCUGCUUGCUUCAAGAUUCUCAUUGCUGACAGCCUCCAGGUGAUAAAAGUGGGCAUUGGUUAGGAUUCGCUACAAGUUCCUGUAACAGGUUUAAAAUGCAAAUAUUACACUGAGUAAGCUUCUUUUGGACAGCUCAAACCAUGCCCGUGCCAUAAGGUGCAACAUAGAAAUUGGAAGUGGAAUCUGGAAUUUAUUUAUUUUUUCUUCAAAAUAAAGUGAUCUUAAUGGUA